Molecule: non-coding RNA, 86 nt
Filed under: Deltaproteobacteria bacterium
Lineage: Bacteria; Pseudomonadati; Myxococcota; Myxococcia
Description: c-di-GMP sequence
Rfam family: c-di-GMP-I riboswitch aptamer
About the family: GEMM was predicted in a large-scale screen for bacterial structured RNA regulatory elements. Genes associated with GEMM are involved in a diverse array of functions, including chemotaxis regulation, signal transduction, secretion and chitin.
Source: RNAcentral
CACCGAUAAAGGCAAACUACACCGAAAGGGUAGGACGCAAAGUCACCGGCCUAAGGCCAUUGGGCCAUGGUAGCGGGACUGCCGAA